GGAUUCAGGAUGAGAUGCAGCUGGGACAGGACACAGCUGUGUUGUGAUGCAGGAAGAUGAGACAUAGGAUGGGAUGCAGCUGGGAUGUGGGCAGGAUGGGAUGAGUUGUCACUCUCUGGCUGUGGCUCUGCCGGAGCUGCUGGGUGCUGGCCGUGCCAUCGCAGCUCGGUGCCAGCCCAGCCCUUGUUCUGCCAGCUGCAGCAGCGCUUCCCCAGCCUCCCUGUGGAGCUGCACCUCUGGGCCCGCCGGCAGCCCCUGCUCUCCUGCCACUCUGACGCCCUGCAUGGGGCCCUCUUCGGCUCUGCUGAGGCCUUCGUGGUGCUGCCCAACGCCACCCGUGUCCCCGCUUUUCUGCUGAACAUUGACGCCAAUGUGACAGGGAAGCCAACCAUUGCUGGGAACAGGCUGGGGGGCACAGUGGGACUGAAGAGGUGAGUCCCCAGCCCUGUGCUGUGUCCAGUUUCCCUGAGAUGUCCCCAGGAAGCUGUCCCCAUACUCCACCUCCGGCCAUUUCCAUCCCUGGGUCCAUAUCAUCCUCUCAGACCCCAUCCUGCCCCUAGCUCUCACCCGUGCCCACUGCCCUGGUGCUCAAACUACGUCCCAGUCCUCAGCCCAUCCCUGGGGACGGCCCUGUCCCCAUGCCCAGCACUGACCCUACUCUCUCCCCUCAGCCUCAGCGUGGUGCAGGUGACAUCGCAUGUGGGCCCGCUGCAGGUGGAGAAGCUGGAGAACAUGCUGAAGUUUGGGCUGUGGCUGUUCGGGGUGCCCUGGGCCAACAAGCGGCUCCGUCCCGGCAUCCCACUGCCCACGCCGCGUGGCAUCACCCUGCUGCACCCACGCCUGUCACUGCACGAGGUGGGUGUCACCCCCAUCCCCUCACCCCUGUCCCUGUGCCACCAUGCUCUUCUCUUACCCCACUCUCCACGCAGGGCUUCAUGCUCAUCGCCACGGACCUGCAAUAUGAACCCUGAGACCGGCGUCUGCAUGGGGAGAUGCUGGCCCUGUGUGCUGCAUUGCAUCCCCAUCCCUGUCCCCAUCCCACUGGCACCUGGUGCCCUCGAGUGGGGGGGGUCCCGCACCCCCUCGGCUGGGAUUAAAGCUGGCAGCGUGGCUCAGCUCGGGUGCAUGUGCCUUGUCCCCAUGAGGUCCCCCUGCCAGCCCCGUACUGGGACACCAGUGGGGGACGGCUGCCCUCACGCGUGGAGGGGGUAGGGGGGGUGGUCUCUGUGCCCACCGGGCCCUUCUGCACCCGCUGCUCCCUCGGGGACGGGGCGGUGCUCGGGGGGUCCCGCAGCCCUCUCGUGUGGCCGUGACGCCGCGCAGCUCCCGGUUCGCCCACGCGAGGGAGCCCGUGCCCGUGGCUCCGGGAGCU
This 1372-nucleotide long non-coding RNA is filed under the name Numida meleagris (helmeted guineafowl). RNAcentral describes it as "lncRNA (ENSNMEG00000016319.1)". Lineage: Eukaryota; Metazoa; Chordata; Aves; Galliformes; Numididae. The record is from RNAcentral.